GACGAACGCUGGCGGCGUGCUUAACACAUGCAAGUCGAACGGAAAGGCCCCCACCUUGGUGGGGGUGCUCGAGUGGCGAACGGGUGAGUAACACGUGGGUGAUCUGCCCUGUACUUCGGGAUAAGCUUGGGAAACUGGGUCUAAUACCGGAUAGGACCAUGGUUUAGUGUCUCAUGGUGGAAAAAUUAUUGUUUUGGUGCAGGAUGAGCUCGCGGCCUAUCAGCUUGUUGGUGGGGUAAUGGCCUACCAAGGCGUCGACGGGUAGCCGGCCUGAGAGGGUGGACGGCCACAUUGGGAGUGAGAUACGGCCCAGACUCCGACGGGAGGCAGCAGUGGGGAAUAUUGAACAAUGGGCGCAAGCCUGAUGCAGCGACGCCGCGUGGAGGAUGACGGCCGUCGGGUAGGAAACUCCUUUCGUUAGGGACGAAGCCACACCUUUUUUGGGUGUGGUGACGGUACCUUUGUAAAGAAGCACCGGCUAACUACGUG
This 489-nucleotide ribosomal RNA is filed under the name uncultured bacterium. RNAcentral describes it as "partial 16S ribosomal RNA". It matches the Rfam family "Bacterial small subunit ribosomal RNA", at positions 28 to 507 of the family's 1533-position model. The record is from RNAcentral.